UACGGAGGGUGCAAGCGUUGUCCGGAAUCACUGGGCGUAAAGGGCGCGUAGGCGGCUCGGUAAGUAGGGGGUGAAAUCCUGCGGCUUAACCGCGGGGCUGCCUUCUAAACUGUCGAGCUUGAGCACGGUAGAGGCAGAUGGAAUUCCCGGUGUAGCGGUGGAAUGCGUAGAGAUCGGGAAGAACAUCAGUGGCGAAGGCGGUCUGCUGGGCCGUUGCUGACGCUGAGGCGCGACAGCGUGGGGAGCAAACAGG
RNAcentral lists this ribosomal RNA (253 nucleotides) under uncultured bacterium. RNAcentral's name for it is "partial 16S ribosomal RNA". It matches the Rfam family "Bacterial small subunit ribosomal RNA", at positions 524 to 776 of the family's 1533-position model. The record is from RNAcentral.